Long non-coding RNA from Cucumis melo (muskmelon), 956 nucleotides. RefSeq lists it as uncharacterized. The record is from RefSeq and is a predicted model, not a curated record. Lineage: Eukaryota; Viridiplantae; Streptophyta; Magnoliopsida; Cucurbitales; Cucurbitaceae. The transcript is spliced from 2 exons.
CCAAAUGCUCUCUCUCUGCCGCGCUCCAGUUCGGUAGCCCUCUCUCUACUUCUCCUUUCCACUGGAAUAUCUCCGAUAGCUCUCCCACUUCACCGACCUGAAAGCAUUAAUUGAAAUUCCAUCGUCAUCGUCAACAACAACAACAACAUUGCUAGGAGCAGGUUUCUAGGGCUGUGGUACUGCUCCCAUCCUCGAACUCGAGCGAACUCUGCGAGUCUGUCUCUGAGUUCUUGCAGUGAGACGUCUUUGGCGGUUUUUUCAGGUUCGUAAGAACGAUUCUCCAUAUCUCUCUCUGUGAUCUGUUUUUAUCUGCUUGUGGUUGUGAUCUCUGCGUUCAGUUGGGGUGUUAAUUUAUAGAAGUUAAGUUUAGGGAGAGAGAGGAUGAGAUAGAGACAGAGGGAAUUUGAUGAUGAUAGUGGGAUGUGCACUUGAGGUGUUUGAUAAAAAGAUAAAAUAGUAAUUAAGGCAUGUGAAGUGUGGGAAAGCCUGUCUCCAUCUUUCCAUUCAUCACUUCAAAGUUCAAAUCACCUCUUUGCUGCUGCACACCUCAUGCCAUGCCAUGUCUCUCACCACUUCUCUACACCACAGAAUUACAUCCCAUCUUUUUUCAAUCUCUUGAACUUGAAGUUUGUGUGACUUUUGGAUCUUCGAUCCCAGUUCGAUUAUGUGUAUGUCCUGUAUUAGUCGAGUUAACUUUAAGCUAUACGUAUGUAAUGUAACAAUGUAGGAUGAGAGAAUCGAACCUCAAACCUUGGGGUCGGUUGUACAGAUGGUUAGUUGAAUUAUGAUCAUUUUCGCAAGGUUAGAGGAUAUAUAUAGGAUUACUUUUAGUGGGCUAAAUAUGCCUUUUUGUAGUAGUACUCUUUACUCAAAAUUAACCUACUCCGGAAAGGAAAAAACCCAACUAGAUAUGUAAUUUCUUCUGUUGUUAUGCAACGACUCACAUGAUUAUCCAA